This is a long non-coding RNA of Brassica rapa (field mustard), 904 nucleotides long. RefSeq lists it as uncharacterized. Lineage: Eukaryota; Viridiplantae; Streptophyta; Magnoliopsida; Brassicales; Brassicaceae. The record is from RefSeq and is a predicted model, not a curated record.
GGUUGCACGGGUCAAAAUCUAGUUAUGUUUUCUAACUCCAGUAAAUUAUCGUGUUUUCAGCGGGUUCAUUUUUCUAAUUCACCGUAGAUGGAAGAUUAGUUUUCUAACACUUUUAGACCAUCACAAGUAUUUUUUUUUUUUUAAGUGCUCAUGUAUGUUAAAAUCAUCUUUUGUAUUUUUCUUUACCUGUUUGACUUCUCAUUAAAUUGAUAUGAAUUUUUAUAAUGUGUAGGGAUAAUUAUUGUCCAAAAAUGUUAGAAGUUGGUUUUGUUCUAGGAGACAGUAACUAAGAUAAGUUGUCUUUUUUUAGCAAAGUUUCCAAAAUUUAUGGUUGAAUCAGCCGUACACUUAUAUAAGCCAUAACCUACUUUCAUGAAUACGAUAUUUAAGGGUUUGCUUCAAUUAUGUGGUAUUCCUUAAAUUUAUGUUUUUCUCCUUGUUUUCCAUUUACUUAGUUCUAUUUUAAGAAUUAAAAACUCUUUUAUAUACGUUAACUUGACAAUGAGGUACAUAUAAUAUUAAAUUAAUUUAAAAAAUCAAAAACGAAGAAGAAAAAAGCAUGUAUAAAAGAGAAAACUUAGUUUCCUUCUCUAUUAUUCUUAUGAUACCUUUGUUAAUUUUGACAGGAAAAACAAAUGCUAAUUAUGAAAAAGAAGAAGAGCGUCGUUGUCGUGGAAGUGCACUCGAAAAUGCACCGCCGGAGAUGUGUAAUAAACCAAACCAUAAUACUGAAUGUAAGCGUCUUUGCAAGGGGACAUUCGGAAAAACUGGAUAUAUAAACGGCGAGUGUAUUGUUAGAGACAAUAAUCGCUAUUGCAAUUGCUACGAUUAUGUAUGCACUGUAACACUACCACCCAGAAAAGGGCUACCACCUCCGGGCUGGAACGGAAAAUAAAUAUAUAUA